CCCCCUCUUGCCCCCUGGUCCCGGCUGCACCAGCCUCCCCCUCUGCGAAACUUCGGGGAACCUCUGUUGAACACCCGCGCUCCCUACAAAACGCAAGCACACACACGACAGGUGUGUGACACCCGCCGGGGCCACCCACCCUCCUCGGCGACCUCUCUCCACUAGGGAGGAGGGACUCCUGUGUGACCACUCUGCAGAAGGGAAAGCUGGCCGUGACAGUUGGUGGAAGAUCAAGGGUCUGAACAAACCUCAAAAGACCCCCCAUCACCACAGACUCGGGCUCAGCAGUCUUCAAGUGGCUGAGGCUGUGUGGCGGGCUUCCAUCUAAGCGAAUGAUAGGGAGCAAGUUCCGGCCUCAUCUUCCCACAAAGAGGGCUCUCGGGGAGAGCUCUCAGGACCCCCUGUGUUCCCGGGUGGCUGGAGCUGAGAGGGGCCGCAAUCACGCAGACCCUGAGACGCCAGCUCCCAACCUCGCUGUGGACUCUCCCUUGCCUGACGGGUGUGGACCGGCUUGGGCCCACCGUGGACAGAGUGGGGCGUGGGUGGGGGGAGC
Molecule: long non-coding RNA, 553 nt
Organism: Talpa occidentalis (Iberian mole)
Lineage: Eukaryota; Metazoa; Chordata; Mammalia; Eulipotyphla; Talpidae
Exons: 3
Source: RefSeq, a predicted model, not a curated record